RNAcentral lists this ribosomal RNA (253 nucleotides) under uncultured bacterium. RNAcentral describes it as "partial 16S ribosomal RNA". It matches the Rfam family "Bacterial small subunit ribosomal RNA", at positions 524 to 776 of the family's 1533-position model. The record is from RNAcentral.
UACGGAGGGUGCAAGCGUUAUCCGGAUUUACUGGGUUUAAAGGGUGCGUAGGCGGGCCUUUAAGUCAGUGGUGAAAUCUCCCCGCUCAACGGGGAAACUGCCAUUGAUACUAUUGGUCUUGAAUUUAGUUGAGGUGGGCGGAAUGUGUCGUGUAGCGGUGAAAUGCUUAGAUAUGACACAGAACACCGGUGGCGAAGGCGGCAUCCUGGACCGGUAUUGACGCUGAGGCGCGAAAGCUAGGGGAGCAAACGGG